RNAcentral lists this long non-coding RNA (796 nucleotides) under Homo sapiens (human). Its description in RNAcentral is "long intergenic non-protein coding RNA 305". The record is from RNAcentral. Lineage: Eukaryota; Metazoa; Chordata; Mammalia; Primates; Hominidae.
AUUUUGUCACCCACGUAUGAGGCCUACAUUUUAUGUACUCACUGCAUACAGCUUAAUGAAUUGGAUUCUUAUGGGGUUAGAAAGGAUAAAAAACAUCACCCCUGUUCUCAGGAAGCUUAAAACUGAGUUGAUACUAUAUGCCAUAUACAUGAGAAAAGAGACAAGAAAAUUCAGUCAGCUAUUUAAAUGUAGAAAUUGCCUUUCUUGGAUCACUGCAUAUGAGACACUGCCAGGCAGAUUAAGAAAAAAGGGAACUAGCUUCAAGGUGUGAGAACACAAGACGAGGAGAGUGUGUUUUCUGUGGGUGCUUCCACUAACAGCCUGCAUGCAAACCAUGGAGCUUCAGGGACUCUGGCCACCCCAGAUUCCCAUUUCUUUAGAGCAUGCAGGAAGAACCUUUCAAAAGGUUACAACCAGAGACCUGAAGGAAGCAAGGAAGAAAGCCACAUGGUUGUCAAAGAGAAGAGGAAAGGAGAUCACUAAGCUGGAUGACGUUUUCUGUUUCUUUGAAAACAGAGAAGAUGACAAGUUAGGGAGAGAUCAGAGGUCAUACUGUGAAGCACCUUUGGAUAAACGGCAGGGACUUUGGAUUUUCUUUUUGAAUAUAAGCAUAAUCCAUUGAAAGGUCUCAUGCAGGGAAGUGGCAAAACACUUUUAAAAUUUUUCAUCUUUUCUUUCUGAAGCAGAGUUCACUCUCCAUUUAUUUGUCUUCUUUGAUAUCUCUCAAUAGAAUGUUGCAGUUUUAGUAUUCUCCUAUUAAACAUUUGUUUAACUUUCUUGUUCUUCUAAAUAAUAA